CAAUAGCAAGCGAGUCGUCAGCUGACGCUGUUUUGCAUCUAUUGUACACAAGACUCGAGUGGAGACAGACGCACUGAAACACUGUGAACUCAUGUCAAAUCAUUCAGCGUUUAUUAUCUGACCUCUUCAGAAAGAUGCAGUUUAUGUUGUUGUUCAGCAGACAGGGAAAACUCCGGCUACAGAAAUGGUACGUGCCCCUGUCCGACAAGGAGAAGAAGAAAAUCACCCGGGAGCUGGUACAGACCGUUCUGGCCCGUAAGCCCAAGAUGUGCAGUUUCCUGGAGUGGAGAGAUCUUAAAAUCGUGUAUAAAAGAUAUGCCAGUCUGUAUUUCUGUUGUGCCAUUGAGGACCAGGACAAUGAGUUGAUCACUCUGGAGAUCAUCCAUCGAUACGUCGAACUGCUGGACAAAUACUUUGGCAGCGUCUGUGAACUAGACAUCAUCUUUAAUUUUGAGAAGGCUUAUUUUAUCCUGGAUGAGUUCCUGCUGGGCGGUGAGGCUCAGGAGACCUCAAAGAAGAACGUCCUGAAAGCCAUCGAGCAGGCAGAUCUCCUGCAGGAGAGCCAGACUGAAGACUGGGGAGGUUUGGCCAAUGAGGAGGUCUUAUAAAAGUCCCGCCCACUCGGUCAGCCUAUUGCCUCGACAUGAGUACUUUAACGUGCCUGUGUACUGAUUGGCUGUCGGUUGCUGUCCGUUCUGCAUGCUGAGCCCCACCCACUUCACAACACCCCUGCUGGCUCCGCCUCUGCAUCUGCACCGUCCUAUCAAAGAGCUGCACCUCCAGUCUCGUUUAACCCCUUCAUUGUGUGUAAAUUCAGAUUGUGUGUCUCGUUGUGUGUCGUUUAUGUGCGAGGUGUGUUUGUGAUGUUAUUCAUGUAUCACUCAAUGUGACAUUCAUUCAUGUAGCUGCAGGUAAUGUGAAACGCACGUUGUUUCAUAUUCAUUGGAAAAAUUCAGAUGAAGCAUUUUAGCUCACAAUAUUUAAGUCUUUUUUCUUUAAAAAUCUUUUCCUUAGUUCUCUUAUAAUUUACUUGCUCUUAUUGGUUUUAAGAUCUCAUAGGUGUGUUUUUCCCAUAUAAGAUAACAUGACAGCGUGUAUAUAUAUAUAAUGACUUCUUUGUGUUCAGUUGAGUAAAUGUUGUCAUAUAUGCCAUGAUGAUGAAUCAAUUAGAGAAUUUUUAUAUUUAGGUAAUAUUUUCCCUUUAAAUCAUCUAAAAUGUUUUGAUGUUUUUGUAGAUGAUGUGUUUGCAUUUUGUGGGGUUGGUCUGUGUGUGUGUAUACACUAAACUACAACACAACAGCUAUGCAGGUUCAGUGGUAAUACUGUAAAUAUAGUGUUGUAAAUUAUAUGAUUGUGUGCGUGCGUGCGUGCGUGCGUGCGUGCGUGCGUGCGUGCGUGUGUGUGUGUGUGUGUGUGUGUGUGUGUGUGUGUGCAUGCGUGUUUUCUGUGGUAGCAAGUUUUGAUUUAGUUUUUAUACAGCACAUUCACAUUUAUACUGUAGUAUGAUUACAAUCAAAUAUAAUGACACUGCUUUAUAAAACAUCAGACUUAAAGACAAAAAAAUUAUUCAGAUUGAAAUGCAAAAAGGAUUGGGAAACUCCAGCUUGAUGUUUUUGCUUUGAUAUAUUUGUUACAUAGAUUCAGUCUGCGUCCAAAUACCCACACUUGGCUGUGCACUUGACUACUUACCCAAGUGUUCUAGUGAAGAUCCUAAGUGUGCAUGUAGAGUUAUUCACCCAAUGGGACUUAGCAAGUGUAAAAAUGUCAAUCCAGGUACUGGCAGCAAUUUGCACCAAAAUAUAUUUCUUUGUCUUCAAAUAAAACGAAGACAUAAAGACUCUGAAACGAAUAUUUGCAAUACUUAAAGAUGACACUUAUCUGAAACUUUCAGAAGCAGAAUUAUUUGCAUCUGUAAAAAAAAAAUCUUUAUUUUGUGCAUGCAGCUUUAUUAAAGUUUAUUGUUUAUGAAGUCUCUAAAUAAACCACACAAUUAAUAUUUUGUCCUAAUUAUGUGAUAAAAGCAGUGGCAGAUAUUGUACAAAAGACAAAACAAUGUUUGCGCAAAUGAAAUGUGCAACACUUUCCGUUUUACUGCCAAAAAAUGUCAUAUCCAUUUAUAAACGUACAAUAAAAAGUUUCUGCGACAUCCCACAAGGUUUGGGCAAAAGUCUUACGAUUUACAUCCAGAACAUGAUGCAUGAUGGGAUACAUUUUGUCUUAAAUACCGCUCUGAAGGAGGGUUAAGGGCACUGCACUUUGCCAGUUUUAAGAUAGGGGCUCUCGAGUGGCCGAGUCCGCAAGUGUGGGUAUUUGGACGCAGCCAAAAAUGUGAUUUAUUUGUAAUUAGGAUGAAUGUACAGCACUUUUAGAUGUUCCUUUAGAUGUUUGAAUCUCCUUUAGUUUUUAUGAUAAUUUAUAUAAAACAUUGUGUUCUUUAUUUAUAGUGUUUGGUUUAAAGCAGAUGAAUUCUUAUUGCAAAGUUUCUGGCACAAAUCCGCUCGUGAAAAUAUGAGGUGUGAUUGAAUAGAAGACAUCAUCAAUAAUUGUGGUAAAAAUAAAUGAAUGAAAUACAAACCUGUGUUUUUUGAUGAAUGUCAUAAUAGUUUAAUUUUCAGUGAAGAUAAAACAUUUGGUUUGAGUACAUAAAUCACAGAGAUCACAGGGGUCUCCUUGAUAAAACUGUGCGUAGGAUAAAAGUCUGCACAAAAACCAAAAUGGCAUACCCAAAAAAAUAUUAAGACACAUAAAACAAAGCGAUGUUCCCUUUAAUAAUCAAAGAUCACCUGCAAGUGUGCGUACAUGAAUUAUCCUCAGAUCCCACCCUGCAAGCCCAUCCUCCCAUUAGUUUUUUUUUUUUUAUAAAUCACAACCUUUGUGUGGAAACUGCACUGUAAAAAAUACUUUGCUGCCUUAAAAUUUUUUGUUAAAUCAACUCAGAUUUACAAGUCAUGUCAGCAAAGAUGAGUUGUCACAACUUAUAAAAUAUAAUUUUUAGUUAUAACAACUUAUCUCUAGUCAAGAUAAAUAAUAGUAAGUUGAAAUGACUUGUAAAUCCAAGUUGAUUCAGCAAAAAAUUUUAAGGCAGCAAAGUAUUUUUUACAGUGUGGUGUAUGCACGUUUCCAGACCUGUUUUGUGCGUGUGCACACUUUAUAAAUGAGACCCCUGAUCUCUCUGUGAUUAUAUAAAGUUAAUAUCUGCUCUUGACAACAAACAAUGCAGAAGAGAGAAAUACUGUACAUUUAUUGGGCUUCACCACAGGCCAAACACAAGUGAGUCUUCAUUUAAACCAAGUUUUUGGGGCACAGAAAUCAUAAGUCCUGAUCCAGAUGUGCCUUUACCACAAGAGUACUGAGCCCAAAAGACAUUUCAACAAAUCUAAAUUGACCAUAUAUUUUAAUAUGUGUAUUUAAUAAACAAAUGAAACAUAAAUGUUAUAAUCUAUAAUCAGAAUGUAAUAAAUGGAGUAGGGCUGCAUAACAAUCGUAACUAAUCGUUUGCAGAAUAAAAGUUUUUGUUAACAUCAUAUAUUUGUGUGUAUUGUGUAUAAUAAUUUUGUAUACAUGCAUGUAUAAUUAGGAAAUAUUUAAUAUAUUUAUAUAUAAUUUAUUUUAUUAAAAUUAUACAUGCAUGUGUGUGUAUUUAUAUACACAUAAUUAUUAUACACGAUACACAAACAUAUAUGAUGUGUGUGAAACAAAAACUUUUAUUUUGUAACCGAUUAGUUGUGAUAAAUUGAUCUGCCCUAAUAUGAAGUAAAUCCACCACAAUCCACUGUCAACAAACAUCAGGUUAGACUUUAUUCUGGUGUGGAUCAUUCACUUUUAACUUAGAUGUUGUGUGUGAUCUUUAAAGGUUCUCCAUGUUCUUGACCGGUUCUUCAGCUGUGUCCUGGAUUCAAAUACAUGCUUUCUACAUACACAAUGUCUUUGAAAGCAGACCGCAAACCUUUAUUUUAAAGGGUGUAAAUGAAAGCUUUUAAAUAUUGACCCACUUACUUGCUCUUUUCUUUUUGUUCCCUAUUUUUUUGUCUCUGCUGUGUUCAGGAUGCCAAAGAAGCUGAAACUCCCCGCAGUGUCCUGGAGGAGAUCGGACUCACAUAAACCCAUCAGAGAUAAACCGUACCAAACCUAAACCCACUGAGAGCCUGUCCAUUUAAAGAUGUAGCAAACACACACACAACACAACACAACACACACAUCAUGAGUUCAUACACUGAAAUAUUGCUGUGAUCAGACUCAUGAAUCAAGCGUCUGAUGGAUCUGCAUCUGUACUCGUCUAUCACACAGAUUCUUCUGCUGUAUUCACACACUAAUGCAGAAAUCUGAGGGAAACGUUUUAUAUUCUUAAGAUCAUUUUACACAAUGUUUCCCAAUGCAUUGGAUUUUGUAGCAUUCACACACAGGUCACUUUUCUAAUACAGCACUUACGAGUUGUUGACCCUGUU
RNA transcript from Paramisgurnus dabryanus, 4445 nucleotides. It is a transcript of the gene named AP-1 complex subunit sigma-2, with no coding region annotated. The record is from RefSeq and is a predicted model, not a curated record. Lineage: Eukaryota; Metazoa; Chordata; Actinopteri; Cypriniformes; Cobitidae.